This 484-nucleotide ribosomal RNA is filed under the name uncultured bacterium. RNAcentral's name for it is "partial 16S ribosomal RNA". It matches the Rfam family "Bacterial small subunit ribosomal RNA", at positions 30 to 507 of the family's 1533-position model. The record is from RNAcentral.
AUUGAACGCUGGCGGCAGGCCUAACACAUGCAAGUCGAGCGGAUGAAGGGAGCUUGCUCCUGGAUUCAGCGGCGGACGGGUGAGUAAUGCCUAGGAAUCUGCCUGGUAGUGGGGGAUAACGUCCGGAAACGGGCGCUAAUACCGCAUACGUCCUGAGGGAGAAAGUGGGGGAUCUUCGGACCUCACGCUAUCAGAUGAGCCUAGGUCGGAUUAGCUAGUUGGUGGGGUAAAGGCCUACCAAGGCGACGAUCCGUAACUGGUCUGAGAGGAUGAUCAGUCACCCUGGAACUGGGACCCGGUCCCGACUCCUACGGGAGGCCGCAGUUGGGAAUAUUGGGCAAUGGGCGAAAGCCUUAUUCAGCCCUGCCGCGUGUUUGAAGAAGGUCCUCGGAUUGUAAAACCCUUUUAUUUGGGAAGAAGGGACGUUAAGUUAAUCCUUUCCUUUUUGACGUUACCAACAGAAUAAGCACCGGCUAACUUCGUG